This 485-nucleotide ribosomal RNA is filed under the name uncultured bacterium. RNAcentral's name for it is "bacterial SSU rRNA". It matches the Rfam family "Bacterial small subunit ribosomal RNA", at positions 30 to 507 of the family's 1533-position model. The record is from RNAcentral.
AUUGAACGCUGGCGGCAUGCCUUACACAUGCAAGUCGAACGGCAGCACGGGUGCUUGCACCUGGUGGCGAGUGGCGAACGGGUGAGUAAUACAUCGGAACGUACCUUAUCGUGGGGGAUAACGCAGCGAAAGCUGUGCUAAUACCGCAUACGCCCUGAGGGGGAAAGCGGGGGAUCGCAAGACCUCGCGCGAUUAGAGCGGCCGAUGCCUGAUUAGCUAGUUGGUGGGGUAAAAGCCCACCAAGGCGACGAUCAGUAGCUGGUCUGAGAGGACGAUCAGCCACACUGGGACUGAGACACGGCCCAGACUCCUACGGGAGGCAGCAGUGGGGAAUUUUGGACAAUGGGGGCAACCCUGAUCCAGCAAUGCCGCGUGAGUGAAGAAGGCCUUCGGGUUGUAAAGCUCUUUUGUCAGGGAAGAAACACCGGCUCUAACACAGUCCGGGAAUGACGGUACCUGAAGAAUAAGCACCGGCUAACUACGUG